This 494-nucleotide ribosomal RNA is filed under the name uncultured bacterium. RNAcentral's name for it is "partial 16S ribosomal RNA". It matches the Rfam family "Bacterial small subunit ribosomal RNA", at positions 28 to 506 of the family's 1533-position model. The record is from RNAcentral.
GACGAACGCUGGCGGCGUGCCUAAUACAUGCAAGUCGAACGCUGAAGGAGGAGCUUGCUUCUCUGGAUGAGUUGCGAACGGGUGAGUAACGCGUAGGUAACCUGCCUGGUAGCGGGGGAUAACUAUUGGAAACGAUAGCUAAUACCGCAUAAUAGUGGAUGUUGAAUGAUAUUUGAUUAAAAGGUGAAAUUGAAUGAAUAGUAGAGUGAGCUGCGUUGUAUUAGCUAGUUGGUGUGGUAACGGAUCACCAAGGCGACGAUACAUAGCCGACCUGAGAGGGUGAUCGGCCACACUGGGACUGAGACACGGCCCAGACUCCUACGGGAGGCAGCAGUAGAGAAUCUUCCACACUUGCCUAAACUCUUACCUAACAACACCACGUUAGUUAAGAAGGUUUUCGGAUCGUAAAGCUCUGUUGUAAGAGAAGAACUAGUUUUACAUUAAAAAUUUCACACUGUAACUUUAUCUUACCAAAAAAGGACGCCUAACUACGU